This 5712-nucleotide long non-coding RNA is filed under the name Sus scrofa (pig). Its description in RNAcentral is "lncRNA (ENSSSCG00000056261.1)". Lineage: Eukaryota; Metazoa; Chordata; Mammalia; Artiodactyla; Suidae. The record is from RNAcentral.
AAAUAUAUUCUCUUUCUUUCCCUAUUAUGUUCUUAUAUUUUUCUUAUACAGACCCUCUCAACUGGUUUUUCAAAGAAUUGAAUCUAAUGCCUUAUCUGUUGUAUGUAGUGAAUUAACUUUCUUGUGCAUCUAGAGUGGUUCUAGCUGUGUACCAUUCUUGGGAGAAUUAGGAAAUUAAUCCCUCAUAUAACUUUCUAUAGGGCUUAAUUCUCUCACAGAACCCUGGUUGAGAAAGGCUGCUUGGAAUAUUUGAACCUUGUUAUUGUAAUAGAUGUUUUAAUAUCCUUGUCCACUAAUCAUUUCUGUAAUUUUUUGGAUCUGUUUCUAUUGACUGAUUUUUCUCUAGUCGUGGGUCUCAUUUUUCUACUUCAUAGCAUUGUCUAGUAAGUUUUUAUGUUGUUGAGUGCCUAGAUUUUGUCACCUUCAUGUAAAGAUUGUUGGGCUUUGAUCUGGUAGGUAGUUAAUUUACUUGCAGUUCAGUUUGAUCCUUUUAAGGCUUGUCUUUAAACUUCAUGUAGUCUCAAGUAGCUUUUUUUUCUUAGGGUAGUUUGGCUCCACUACUAAGAUGUGGCCCUUUUGGGGUCUCUACUGAAAUUCCCUGUGUGAUCAGUGAGGAGUCUUCAAUUUGGCUCAUGGGGACUCAGGUAAUUUUCAGCCCCAUAUGAGCUCUGGGGAGCCAUUCUGUUCACAGCUCCUGGGUCAUUCUUUCCCUAGCCUCCUGAAGUUCAGCCUAUGCAUGUGUAUGUCGUAAAAUUCAGCCAAGACUUGUUGACCCUCUGCAUAUUUUUGGAGAUCUUUUUCUAUGUAGCGCUCUCUCUCCUCCAGAACUUUGUGGCUGCAGCUUCCAGCUGCUUCAGAGUCCCUGAUCUCUAGUGUCUGUCUUUUUAGUUCAGGGAAACAUUUGUGCCCUGCUUGGAAUCUCCAUCCCCUCUGCAAUCUGGAAUGUGCCUCUAGGCAGAAAGCCAGGGCAAUCUUAAGGCCUAGUUUAUUUGUUUCUAUUCCAUCCGGGAUUGUAAUCGUGCUGCCUGGUGUACACUGUUUGAAAACAGUUUUCACAUUUUUACUGCAGUUUCUUGAUUGUCUAAGGUAGGGGCGUAAAUCCAGUUCAUGCUACUCCAUGACCGGAAGCUGAGGUCUCUCUCAUUUGAUGUCUAUCAAAUAAUCAGAGGUGCCUUGUAGCCCUCAGUCUGUAACUUGGAAUCUUUUCUCACAAAGAAUGGCUAGUCUCAUAGCAUGAAUCGUCUUUGCCUGUGUAGCCAUUUUUCUCCUCUCUAGCCGAUGGGAUUGGCAAACUUUGCCUGAAGAGGUCCAGUUAGUAAAUAUCAUCUUGGGCUUUGUGGGCCAUGUGGUCUUUGUCCCACUCAACUCUGCCAUUGUAGCACCCAAGCAGCUGUAAACAACCUAGAAAUGAAGGAGGGUGGCGGUGUUUCAAUGAAACCUUAUUUGUGGAGUCUGCAAUUUGUACUUCAUAUCAUUUUCAUAUGUCAUGAAAUAUUAAAUCUUUUGAAUUUUUUCAGAAAUGUAUUUAAAAUUGUAAAAACCUUCCUAUAUAAAAACAGAUGGCAGAUUGGUUAUGAUCUGUGGGCCGCGGUUUGCCAAUCCUGCUCUCUAGCACAUUUAGCAUUUGAGGUUACACUCCCAACUUUAGAAUCUCUUAUGUAUGUGGAAAUUCUUUCAAGUAGGAUUUCUUGAAUUCAUAGUUAUGAGUUUCUGUCUUAGGAUUUUUCUCCCUAUAUUAUUUAUUUAGAACUUUACAAUGUUUCAGAGUUGGACAUUAUGCCCUAUUGACAUACCUCCUACAUUGAUGAUUCUCUACAUUUGGGGCUUCAGAGUUUCAUAAUAUAAAUUCGUCCCCUACUUGAUCCUUUGACCAUUAAAAUUCAGUGUAAAAAGUUGUAUAUACUUAAGGUCUAGCCUGCGUUCCCCUCUUUUCAUCACCACUUGUUUAACUUAUUUCUUUCCCAUUCCUAUAUGUAGUGAUUCCAUUGAACAGAAAACUGACAGGUAAAUAAAAGGAGAUGAUAAAAUGAUCACUUUCAGUAUUGCUCAGUCACUUAAGGGUCCUUAACCAGUGACUGCUUUUAAAGUUUCAAAGUACUUUUUAGAAAAAAGGCAUUUUAAUUUGAACAGAUUUCUUUGUGCAAGACUUUAUUAGGUGCCCUGGGGAAGUGGAUAGAUUUCCUUCCUACAAAUUACUCAGUAUCUAGUAGAAGAAGAUGAAGUGUGACAAAAACAAAUGAUGAGACUGUAGAGUUAAGGUAGUGUGUGAGGAGCAUGCAUGCAGAAAGUUGUCAGGUCCAGGAGAAGUGAUGGUAUGUAUUCCUCCUGGAAAAUCUAAGGAGGCUUAGCUUCUUAAUUAGAAGUGAUGUUUUCACUGGAGCUUGACAGAAUGGUAGGCUUUGAUGUGGGAAGAGAGAAGAAAAGUGAGGUGGGGAAAAGCCUGGGCAGAAGUACAGAGCUGGCAGCAUGAAGGGUGCAUUCUGGGAUUGGAAGCUUAAUCUAAAAGGAUUUUAAGGAGUUCCCAUCGUGGAGCAGUGGUUAACGAAUCCGACUAGGAACCAUGAGGUUGCGGGUUCGAUCCCUGGCCUCGCUCAGUGGGUUGAGGAUCCGGCGUUGCUGUGAGCUGUGGUGUAUGUAGGUUGCAGACACGGCUCAGAUCCUGCGUUGCUGUGGCUCUGGUGUAGGCCGGUGGCUACAACUCCUAUUUGUUUGACCCCUAGCCUGGGAAACUCUGUAUGCCGCGGGAGCGGCCCAAGAAAUGGCAAGAAGGACCCCCCCCAAAAUAAAUAAAUAAAUAAAAUAAAAGGAUUUUAGGUGCAGUGGGGAAGAACAUGACUGGGCUUGGGUUGUGGAGGGCUUUAAUAUUAUGACCCUUCUGUAUAUACUGGGAAACUGCUGGGAAUUCUGAACAAGAAAUGCCUGAAUCAAAUCUAGCAGAGCGGUGACAGAGCCGUGUGGAUUUAAGGAAAGGUGGCCAGAUGAGAGGUUAUCUGAAUCACUGAAUCAGUUCUCUUUCCAUUUGUUCUGCCACUUUUAUCUAAGCCCCUCUGAUCUCACACCCACAUUAUUAUUAUAAUGGCCUUGGAAGUAGUCUUUAUUUGCAUUUUGCCCCCACAAAGAUGUUCUUUCAGUGUAGCCAAAGGGGUCUUUUUUAGGCCAUAAAUUAAAUGUUACACUGUUGCUUAAAAUCUGUCCUCAUCUCAGUGCCCUUGGACUAACAUCUGAAUCCCUUACCAGGGUGUACAAGGAAACUUUUUGCAGGAUCUGUCCUCUUUCUGCCUCUCACUUACAUUCAAGCUGACUUGCUUUCUCACACCCUAGAACUUGCUGAAUGUUUUCCAAAUCACUUGCUUUACUGUUGUAAUUACCGGUUUCACCCAUUUGCUUCUUGGCUUAGAUGCCACCUCAGAGAGCCCCCCUAGGACCACCCCAUCGUAAUACCUCACUGCCCUGUAUUUGCUUCAUGACAGUUACCCAUCUGUGAUUUUGUCUUGUCUGACCUCUACCUUAAUGUCAUAAGCUCCCCGAGGGCAGAACUGUGUCUGUUGGGUUUCCUGCUUUACCUGUAUUACCUGGCAUGGGCAGAAAAUCAUUUGAUGAAUGCAUAAGGAGCACAGGCAGCCUUAUAGUAAUAGAAAUAAAAUAUAUGGUGAUCGUGGCACUUACGUACAGGGUUAGCCCAGGAGGCACUGGUGAAUGGGGCUUGGAGCUCAAAAGAAGAGACUGGAUUAAAAGUGCAGAUUUGAAAUUGGUCUGUUUUGAGCUAAUGAUAGAAGGGGGGUGGGGGUUGAGGUAGAAAGUGCUUUUGAGAGAAGGUCCAGGGUUUUAAACUUUGGGGGGAAGUUGAAAGAUUAAAAGGCAGGAAAAAGACAAGAGAAAAGCAGCCCAUAGUUGGUGGUGAAGAGCUUUGAGUGCUGUGCAAAGAUUGGGGAGUAAGGGGCAGCGGUGCUUGUUUCGAGGUUGCUGAUGAGUUUGGGAGGUUUGAUUCAGUCAUAUGCUAGUGGCCACCAGAUUAUAGUGGGUUGUGGUGUGAUUGGAGGGCAAGGAAGUGGAGGAGGUAUGUUUGGGCUACUACUUAGAGAAAUUCCAUGGCACAAUCAGAGGGUGAUGGGGCAGUUGUCUUUCACGAUCAGGUAGGAUGUUAGAGGAAUAAGAAAAAGAGCCAGUGCAGGGCGCUCAGACUAGGUAUGUAGGAUACAAGUGUGGAAGAAGAUGUUACCGUUUAGGUGCAUAAGCAUUUGAGAGAUUCAAAAACAUAUGGCUUGCAGGUGACAUCCCUUUUUGACCAGUGUGUGACAGUUGCUUAGUGCAGUGCUUCUCAGACUGAGACGAAGAGCCAGUUAAAAAAAUUUUUGCAUCUUCACUAUCAUGGAAUGAUAGAGUUAACUGUAAAAGGUUUUGAACGUUUUAAAUUUCUGUCUCUCAUCUUAGGAGGGUAAUGUGGAUGUGCUCAGGCUACACAUCUCUCUUUGUGUGGCACUAAUUAGCGGAUGAGGGAGCCGGCGAUCUAGGUAUUUUUCACAAGUGGUCCUUCUGACUUUCUAGAUGGGCUAGUCACUUCCAGGUUAAGCUCCCGCAGUAGGAGUUGCAUGCUAACACUAGGGGGAAAGAUAAAAGGUUCUGCUCCAAGACUAUUGAAAAGAAGUCAGUGGUCUUGAAUAAGAUGUUGGCCCCUUUCCCUCCCGCUAAUACUUAGCAUUUUUUGAAGUAAAGGAAAACUGUGUAAACACGUAACAGUUAAACCAUGAGAAUUAUUACCUUAAAUAUGAGUGCUAUUAAAAUAGGAGAAUUUCUGCCUGUCAUUUCAAAAGCCAGGAAGUAGUUAAGGACAUAUUCUGAGUUUUAUGAAGAAUUUAGAGCAAUAUGAGAAAAUGAUAAUGAUAGAUAAUGAAUGCUGAGUGAAAAGUCUGGAAUUGUGCUUUGCUCUGAUGAUAGCUGGGUAAAACUAUUGCAUGUGUAUUUUAUUUGUCAGGAGAUUUUCAGUCAUAAGUCUGGGUAAAAAAGUAUUGCAUAUGUAUUUUAUUUGUCAGGACAUUUUCAGUCAAAAGUGGUAGAAAUGCAGCUCAAGCCAGCUUCACCACAAAGUGGGCAUUUACUGGUUUAUGAGGAAGCAAGAGACUGAGCAGCUAAAACUGGCGUUCAAUGACCUCCUACUGCCAGGAUACAAUCAGGACUCACUCUCAAGAUGGGAACUGGCUAUACCGUGGAGGUGGGGUAGAGAAAUCCUUUAGUGUAAGAAAGCUUGUGACAAAGCCUGAGGCCAGAAAAGGUAAAGUGACUGGCCCAGCUCUCACAGGUAUUCAGGGGCACAGCAGUGGUUUGAACCCAGGUUCCCCGUGCUUAACCGUUACAUGACUUCUGCCUCUGCUCGACAGAGCGUGUAAAACCUUCUGAACUGACAGGGUUUCUAAAUCAGGGAUGCCAUUAUUUAAAUUUGACAUUUUAGUACAGAUCUUUUGCUCACAGAUUUCAAAGGAUUUAAAUUGAAAAUUUAUCUUCACACCCGUUAGCAUUCAGCUGCUAUUUAUAGUUUGCUACCAGCAUCUCACUCUCUUUCAAAAGGGGCUGUUUUAUUUUCAUUCAUUCUCCCUACUUUGGGCAAUAUGAAAAACAAAAUGAAUUGUUCUGUCAUGAAAAUUAAUAGCACGAACAUUUGGGUCUUCCUUGAUUCUGUGUUGUAAUUAGCAAUUAAACAUUUAUGUUUUGUCUUGU